ACUCCUGGCCUCAAGCUAUCCUCCCACCUUGGCCUCCCAAAGCACUGGGAUUACAAAUGUGAGCCACUGUGUCCAACCACAAGAAUUAUUAAAAGGAAUUUUACUUAAGUAUCUACUUCCAGAUCUCUCCAUGUUUUUUUUAACUCUGCUAGUUACAAAAUAAAAGAAUUACCUCAUCAGCCUCUGUAGGGGAAGAUGAAUUGUGUGGAAUGGGUUUGAAAUGAAGGAUAGUUAGAUGUAGAAGGUAAAGCAAAAGGAAUCAGCUUUUUGUGUCUGACAGAGGAUCUGAUACUUGAUGGUCUGACCACAAGGUAUCUCUCAGAAAUUGCCAGUCCUUUUCACCCAGUGCACAGCCAGCUGCUUUGAGCAGAGAGAGCCAUGGUUGGAACUCCUGCUUCGUGACUUGGGGGCGGAGGCAGAGCUUGCCGCUGAAUGCAGCCACUGCCCACAACCCCUGCACACUCCUCUUCCCUUGCACUGGCUUCUUGCUGCCAGCAUCUGCAAGUCUUUGCCUGGAGGUGGAGCAAGAGGGUGCUGGGCCCAUUUGACAGGUGGCUAGUGCUGGAAGUUCAUGGUCUUCACCCAGUUUCAGGUAGAGGUUGCAGGAUAUACGACCCAGCUUCCUGGCCCCAGGUGGAACAACCCUGAGACAUGUUCGCCAUUUCCCGCAGGCCUCCCAGUGGGACUGACCCCUAGUUGCCUUCAGUGGCAAUCUGCUCAUUACCACUUCUUGUGUUGAUUUUUUUUUCCCUUCACUUUCUCAUUUUUCCAUUUCCUUGUUGGUCCCAAUUAACUAUUUGCACAUGAAUCUUUGCCUCAGGGUCUGCACCUGGGGGACCCCAAAGACACAGACACUUGAGCUCUUACUCUGCCUUUAUCCUAGACCUAGCAUUGGUCUCCAGAGGUCACUCAUGACUUAAUGGCCCAUCUUAAUGGCCUCUUUCCCCGUGUGUUCCUUGGUUGAUGUGUCUUUCUGUACUAAGUAGAGUUUUUGGGUGGCAAGGAGGCAGUUAGCACAGGGAACUAUGUAGCAAGGGACAUGGAGACUAAAUAGCAGCUGGCCCAUUUCUCUGGCUUCUCAUGGCCAAGCCUGGCACACACAGCUGCCCUCGUGCAGAUCCAGAACUAUGGCUCUUGUUCCCUCAGGACCCAUCCUCAAAGCUAGUGACUUGGUCUUUUCCUAUGACAAAGGAGCUCUCAGAAUGUGGCAGUCCCCCUUCUUAGGGGGAGAAUCUGACUGGGUCAGGGAGGCACCUCCAGUUUGCAGAGCCCCCAUUGGUCAGGUUCAGUGUCCAAAACACCUGAGGGGCAAGUGGCUUCUUGAAGUCCAGCCCAUAUGGCUACUUUUGACUUAGACAUUCAAGGCACAGGAACACAUGACACAGGCACAGGGUGUGACAACUGCAUGCAGAAAGAGCCACUCUCAUUCCUCAGAAGAGGCUGUGGAGAUGAGUGGCUGAGCCAUGUGCCCCAAAAUUCAUGUCGAAGUCCUAACCCCCGGUGUCUUAAAAUGUGGCCAUAUUUAGAGGUAGAACCUUUAAAGAGUGAGCUAGGUGAGAGUGAUUCAUAAGGAGAGGCCCUACUUCAGUGUGACUGGCGUCCUUAGGAGAAGAAGAAAUUAGGGCGCAGACACACAGAGGGGACAGCGCGUGAGGACAUGGGGAGGAAAUGCCAGUUGCAAGCCAAGGAGAGAGGCCUCGGAAGAAACCAGCCCUCCUGAUACCUUGAUCCUAGACUUCCAGCCUCCAGAACUGUAAGAAAAUACAUUUCUGUUGUUUAAGCCACCUGGUCUUAGAGUUCUAUCUUGAAUUUCUCUCUGCUUUAGACUUUUCUGUUUUGUUUUUUAGCCUAAGUGUUAUUGAAAAGAGCAGAGAAGAUAGAGUGCAGGCCCCUAGAGACAGGAUGGAACGGAACAUGCAGUGUGAGUCUGCCUCCUGCUCAGCAUACGCUCUUGGUCCCCACUGGUCCAUCUCACUGCUGACUGGCAUCCUGCAGAACAGACAGAUUGCACAGGGGCAGCUCUUUCCUCCAAAGCUGCAAUGUGGUUCAUUAAGUCCUCAGAUUUGGGAACUCAUCCAGGCACUUGAGUUCAAACAUACAGUUCUGAUCUAAGACUUCACAGGUAAGAAUAUCCAAAAAGGUGAGCUUUCUCCCUGGAAACCAUGAUUUCCUCAGAAACAAGGAGAAAUGUUUCAGCUGCCCAGGUUGCGGUUCCAAGUAUGGAGGCUUCCAUGUUUCAUGGUCAGGGUCAUGGUGGAGCUGUUUCAGCUGCAGGUGGGAUGCCACCAUUUGCUCCUCCCUGAUGUCUCCUGGCACCUUUCAUUCUUCAGUCGCACCACUCUGAAGAAGCGUGCUUGCGAGCGCCGCGGGACGAUCCAGGACGUUCCAGGAUUGUGGACGAUCCUGUUCUUCCCAUCUGUGAGGGCCUGGAUCACAGUUCCUCAAGCUUUGUGAUACAAACGAAUCACCUGGGAUUUGGAUAAAAUGCAGAUUCAUGUUCAGCAGCCCUGGCGUUCUGCAUUUCUCAUGAGCUCCAGGAAGACACUGGCGCUGCUGGGUGGUGAGGGAUUGGCAGGCAAUUCCAGGUGUUGCCUUAGAGAUGGCCUGCUAUUGCACUGCCAGUAGGUAGCUGCCACAGUGAUGGCUGCUCCAGAGCAAGGGGAGAACCUUUUGAAAAGGAUUCUUGAAUCAUCUGGGAAAUAAAUCAAGCCAUAUGAGUAAAAAGUAAUCAAAAAAUACAUUGAAUAUUGGAACCAGAGGAAAUCUUAGCAUCAUUUUGUAAUGACUCCCUGCACAAAUUUUCCAGAUGAGGAAACUGACAAAGCCAGGUGGCCUGUGACUAAGGAGCAAGAUGCUCAGCGAGGUCUCCCUGCUGCACUCCCGUGCACUUCCACAGUGAUACCCUGCUGACAGACACAGGAAAUGUUGAACAUAGCUAUCUUUAAAAUUAAGACCAUGACUGCCCUAAACAUUUACAAAGGACCAACCAUGAGAAAAAAGCCUGUACCAGAAAUCAGAAGAUGGCUUUUGUCCAUGUACAACCUUGGACGAGUUAAUUACUUAUCAGUGCUCUCUGAGCCUUUUUCCCCACUGGUUACAAAAAAAGAAAAGAAAAGAAAAGGAUAUGCCUGCCCUUCCUAAUUCACAGGGCAUUGCAGGGAGGUAAGGUAGUUAAUAUGCUGAAUCACUUCAAAAGGGUGGAGCUGAACUCACAGUGGGAACCCUGUCACACACACAUUUCCAUGACAAGGAUAUUGGUGAGGUGAGGGAGGUGGGGAGAGGCAUGAGGAUGGGAGACAAAGGGGUGGGAUAGGGAAUGGGGGAAGGAGGAAGCCAGAGGGACAGGCCCAGGCUAGGCUCUGCAGUCAGAAGGUGAGCGAGGUAGAGAAUUAGCAGCACACUGUCCAUGGAUAUUUGUGGUGAUGGAAAUGUACUGUAUCCAUGCUCUCCAACAUGGCAGCCACUAGCCACAUGUGGCUAUCAAGCACUGGAAAUGUAGCUAGUGUGAUUGAGGAACUGAUCUUUAAUUUUUCUUUGUUAUUAAUUUCAGUUUAAAUAGCCACAUGUGGCCAGUGGCUUCUGUAGCAAAGAUCUAGAUCAUUUGUUUGAAGCAGUAAAAAGAGAAAUGUGAAUCCCCUCUUCUUACCUCCUAUAACAUGCUAAUUAACAUCACUGCAAUUAACCACCAUUCACAGCUCUUCAGCUGCUCUGUGGAACCUCAGCCCACUCUGAAAUGAACAGCCACAGUGGCAGGGGUUACAGAAUGGGCUGGGAGUGGCAAUGCAGAUUCAUCUCUUCACACACUCUUUAUGCCCUCAAUCAAAAAUGCCUCAGGCUGUGUAAAAUUCCAUAAAUAAUAAAGAGAUUUAAAAAAUA
Molecule: non-coding RNA, 3876 nt
Organism: Macaca mulatta (Rhesus monkey)
Lineage: Eukaryota; Metazoa; Chordata; Mammalia; Primates; Cercopithecidae
Source: RefSeq, a predicted model, not a curated record